This 699-nucleotide ribosomal RNA is filed under the name uncultured Novosphingobium sp. RNAcentral describes it as "bacterial SSU rRNA". It matches the Rfam family "Bacterial small subunit ribosomal RNA", at positions 94 to 828 of the family's 1533-position model. Lineage: Bacteria; Pseudomonadati; Pseudomonadota; Alphaproteobacteria; Sphingomonadales; Sphingomonadaceae. The record is from RNAcentral.
AGUGGCGCACGGGUGCGUAACGCGUGGGAAUCUGCCCUUUGCUUCGGAAUAACUUCGGGAAACUGAAGCUAAUACCGGAUAAUGUCGCAAGACCAAAGAUUUAUCGGCAAGGGAUGAGCCCGCGUAGGAUUAGGUAGUUGGUGGGGUAAAGGCCUACCAAGCCGACGAUCCUUAGCUGGUCUGAGAGGAUGAUCAGCCACACUGGGACUGAGACACGGCCCAGACUCCUACGGGAGGCAGCAGUGGGGAAUAUUGGACAAUGGGGGCAACCCUGAUCCAGCAAUGCCGCGUGAGUGAUGAAGGCCUUCGGGUCGUAAAGCUCUUUUACCAGGGAUGAUAAUGACAGUACCUGGAGAAUAAGCUCCGGCUAACUCCGUGCCAGCAGCCGCGGUAAUACGGAGGGAGCUAGCGUUGUUCGGAAUUACUGGGCGUAAAGCGCGCGUAGGCGGCUACUCAAGUCAGAGGUGAAAGCCCGGGGCUCAACCCCGGAACUGCCUUUGAAACUAGGUGGCUAGAAUCUUGGAGAGGUCAGUGGAAUUCCGAGUGUAGAGGUGAAAUUCGUAGAUAUUCGGAAGAACACCAGUGGCGAAGGCGACUGACUGGACAAGUAUUGACGCUGAGGUGCGAAAGCGUGGGGAGUAAACAGGAUUAGAUACCCUGGUAGUCCACGCCGUAAACGAUGAUAACUAGCUGUCCGGG